This 1287-nucleotide ribosomal RNA is filed under the name metagenome. RNAcentral describes it as "bacterial SSU rRNA". It matches the Rfam family "Bacterial small subunit ribosomal RNA", at positions 242 to 1520 of the family's 1533-position model. The record is from RNAcentral.
UAGCUAGUUGGUGAGGUAAAGGCUUACCAAGGCGACGAUCUGUAGCGGGUCUGAGAGGAUGAUCCGCCACACUGGAACUGAGACACGGUCCAGACUCCUACGGGAGGCAGCAGUGGGGAAUUUUGGACAAUGGGGGCAACCCUGAUCCAGCCAUGCCGCGUGAGUGAAGAAGGCCUUCGGGUUGUAAAGCUCUUUCGGCCGGGAAGAAAUCGCAUGGGCCAAUACCCUGUGUGGAUGACGGUACCGGAAUAAGAAGCACCGGCUAACUACGUGCCAGCAGCCGCGGUAAUACGUAGGGUGCGAGCGUUAGUCGGAAUUACUGGGCGUAAAGCGUGCGCAGGCGGUUUUGUAAGACAGGCGUGAAAUCCCCGGGCUUAACCUGGGAACUGCGUUUGUGACUGCAAGGCUAGAGUACGGCAGAGGGGGGUGGAAUUCCACGUGUAGCAGUGAAAUGCGUAGAGAUGUGGAGGAACACCAAUGGCGAAGGCAGCCCCCUGGGUCGAUACUGACGCUCAUGCACGAAAGCGUGGGUAGCAAACAGGAUUAGAUACCCUGGUAGUCCACGCCCUAAACUAUGUCAACUAGGUGUUGGGUGGGUAAAACCAUUUAGUACCGUAGCUAACGCGUGAAGUUGACCGCCUGGGGAGUACGGCCGCAAGGUUAAAACUCAAAGGAAUUGACGGGGACCCGCACAAGCGGUGGAUGAUGUGGAUUAAUUCGAUGCAACGCGAAAAACCUUACCUACCCUUGACAUGCCAGGAACUUGCCAGAGAUGGCUUGGUGCCCGAAAGGGAGCCUGGACACAGGUGCUGCAUGGCUGUCGUCAGCUCGUGUCGUGAGAUGUUGGGUUAAGUCCCGCAACGAGCGCAACCCUUGUCGUUAAUUGCCAUCAUUUAGUUGGGCACUUUAACGAGACUGCCGGUGACAAACCGGAGGAAGGUGGGGAUGACGUCAAGUCCUCAUGGCCCUUAUGGGUAGGGCUUCACACGUCAUACAAUGGUCGGUACAAAGGGUUGCCAAGCCGCGAGGCGGAGCCAAUCCCAGAAAGCCGAUCGUAGUCCGGAUUGCAGGCUGCAACUCGCCUGCAUGAAGUCGGAAUCGCUAGUAAUCGUGGAUCAGCAUGUCACGGUGAAUACGUUCCCGGGUCUUGUACACACCGCCCGUCACACCAUGGGAGCGGGUUCCGCCAGAAGUAGGUAGCCUAACCGCAAGGGGGGCGCUUACCACGGCGGGGUUCGUGACUGGGGUGAAGUCGUAACAAGGUAGCCGUAGGGGAACCUGCGGCUG